GAGUUUGAUCCUGGCUCAGAUUGAACGCUGGCGGCAGGCCUAACACAUGCAAGUCGAGCGGUAGAGAGAAGCUUGCUUCUCCUUGAGAGCGGCGGACGGGUGAGUAAUGCCUAGGAAUCUGCCUGGUAGUGGGGGAUAACGCUCGGAAACGGACGCUAAUACCGCAUACGUCCUACGGGAGAAAGCAGGGGACCUUCGGGCCUUGCGCUAUCAGAUGAGCCUAGGUCGGAUUAGCUAGUUGGUGAGGUAAUGGCUCACCAAGGCGACGAUCCGUAACUGGUCUGAGAGGAUGAUCAGUCACACUGGGACUGAGACACGGUCCAGACUCCUACGGGAGGCAGCAGUGGGGAAUAUUGGACAAUGGGCGAAAGCCUGAUCCAGCCAUGCCGCGUGUGUGAAGAAGGUCUUCGGAUUGUAAAGCACUUUAAGUGGGAGGAAGGCAAGUAAAUUAAUACUUUGCUGUUUUGACGUUACCGACAGAAUAAGCACCGGCUAACUCUGUG
RNAcentral lists this ribosomal RNA (503 nucleotides) under uncultured bacterium. RNAcentral describes it as "bacterial SSU rRNA". It matches the Rfam family "Bacterial small subunit ribosomal RNA", at positions 9 to 507 of the family's 1533-position model. The record is from RNAcentral.